Molecule: long non-coding RNA, 974 nt
Filed under: Gossypium raimondii (Peruvian cotton)
Lineage: Eukaryota; Viridiplantae; Streptophyta; Magnoliopsida; Malvales; Malvaceae
Description: long non-coding RNA (GRAI_LNC004986)
Source: RNAcentral
AUUAAUAUUAACAGGCUCAAAAGGAGUAGCUAAAAGGCCACCAAAACAGACAAAAAAGAAAAUCACAGUUGUCCAAUAUAAAAGAAAAUUAAAAACUAUGCCUAGAAAGUAACGAAACAUCAAUAAGCAGAAAACGUGUGAGCCUGCAACAAAACUUUUCAAUCUCCAUUAUCAGCCACAGCAGGGCUCCAUUUCAUUCGGAAUUAUCGAUCAGAGCCCGAGAGCCAGCAACGCUUUGCAAACAAUAUUAGAGAUUCAAUGAACCUUCUCUAACUCAAAGCGAACAUAUGGAACUUAGGUCCGUUGGCACCAUCGUAACCAGUCUUCCUCCACCACCAGUCGCACAGUCUCCGGUAUUCCAUUAACCCAGGCUCCACACACUUUCUGAUUCCGACCUUCCACUGCCAAAAUAUGGGCUACAGCGUUAAGCGGACGGUUCACAAACUUGUAAGAGACUUCAUCAAAGCCCUAGCGCAAUCUAUGAAUAUUAUGAACAAUCGACCUAAUAAUCGAUCUAUCUUUCUCAUUUUUAAUCAGUUUUUUAAUGACUGUCAGGGAGUCCCCUUCCACAAUCAACCGUCGAAAGCCCUUCAAUUUUGCGAGGAUCAGCGCUCUUUCACAAGCUCGUGCUUCCGCCACGAAUGCGUCGUCCACACCUUCCACCAGAUAAGUAACUGCUUCUAUAACUUCCCCUCUGUGAUUUCUGGCUAAGAUUGCUAUUGUCGCAAAAUUAUUUCCUGGAAUAUACGACGCAUCAAAAUUAAUUUUAAUAAAACCAUAGUCAGGAGGCCUCCAAACUUCAUUUCUCAUAAGAGCAGUAGAAACACAUAGAUUCUCACGAACAAGCCAUAGAUCUUGCUCAUAGCCCCUGAUAAAUCCCAAUAGUUGUGGCAUAGAAAGCUUAGUCCCCUCAUGAACCAACUUAUUUCUAUGAAACCAGAAACACCAAAGAGAUAAAGCAAUAAACCUUUUUU